ACGCUCGACACCUACGGAGGCAGCAGUGGGGAAUAUUGCACAAUGGAGGAAACUCUGAUGCAGCGAUGCCGCGUGAGGGAAGAAGGUUUUCGGAUUGUAAACCUCUGUCUUUGGGGACGAUAAUGACGGUACCCAAGGAGGAAGCUCCGGCUAACUACGUGCCGGCAGCCGCGGUAAUCUGAGCGGGCUGGCAAGGC
RNAcentral lists this ribosomal RNA (197 nucleotides) under uncultured bacterium. Its description in RNAcentral is "partial 16S ribosomal RNA". It matches the Rfam family "Bacterial small subunit ribosomal RNA", at positions 328 to 539 of the family's 1533-position model. The record is from RNAcentral.